Small RNA from Serratia odorifera DSM 4582, 140 nucleotides. It matches the Rfam family "Yersinia sRNA 155(RyfD)". The record is from Rfam. Lineage: Bacteria; Pseudomonadati; Pseudomonadota; Gammaproteobacteria; Enterobacterales; Yersiniaceae.
UAGGACGGUCCACCGACGCAUAACGUUGUACUCAUAAUAUAGUGUCGAAAUAACCUUGAAAAUUUGAGGGAUGACCUCAUUUAAUCUCCAGUAGCAAUUUUGUCCUAUAUUGGAGGUGUUAUGCGUCUGGAUCGUCUUAC